GGAACAAAGGAGGCGAGCGCAGCUGCACGCGCAGGGAGGCCCACAGCGUCCCGGGCCCCUCCUCCCCCGCCGCCGCCGGGGCACACCGCACCUGAACCCCACUCCCCAGGACGCCCCAUUGUUCUCCCUCCGCUUUCCUGCCCGGAGGCAGCCACACCGUGUCUUUGUAGGGGGCCAGGAAACAGCUGUGGGCCAGAGGAAUGGAGGGGCUGUGGGUGAACACCAGGACAGCCGAGAUUCGACUCUACCCACAGACCAGCAAAGCCAAGGACAGAGAGGUCUUCAGGGAAUACAUGGCUAUGGUGGGUUUGAAGACUCCCAUUAGAGAGUGGAUAUUAAUUGCCCUCCUUUUGAAUACGGUCUGGACUUAGUGAUUUGAUUGUAACAAAUAGAAUACAGCAGAUGUGAUGCUAUGUGACUUCCAAACCUAGGUCAUAAAAGGAGAUAAAGUUUUCACCUGGCUCUCCCUUGGGACACUCACCCUUGGAACCCAGCUGCCAUAUUGUGAGGAAGCUCAAGCUACAGGGAAGGCCAUGUGUAGGUGUUUGGGCUGAUGGUGCCAGCUGAGGACCCGGUCUACUGCCAGUGCAACUUAUACCAGGCAUGUGAGUUGGGGAGCUUUUGAAAGAACUCCAGCCACAGUCACUGACUGACCAUGCUGCCUGAGAGACCUGGGGAGAAAACCUAGCUGAGCCAAGUCAGGCCCCGGAAACAUAAAUAACCAGCACCUCUGCCUGCUUUCCUUACUCAAAUCUUUGAUGAGACCAUCUUUUCAGAAGAGGCAGGUGCAGCACCUCUGGAACCCGCAUUAACUCUCCCAGCAGACAAACGGACACAUUUCUUUCACAAGAGCCACCUCCCUUCUAAUUGAGAAGUCUGUUGCUCUUGGUGUUCUCCGGCCUGCCACGCCUACA
RNAcentral lists this long non-coding RNA (914 nucleotides) under Pongo abelii (Sumatran orangutan). RNAcentral's name for it is "lincRNA". Lineage: Eukaryota; Metazoa; Chordata; Mammalia; Primates; Hominidae. The record is from RNAcentral.